Molecule: small RNA, 76 nt
Filed under: Olea europaea subsp. europaea
Lineage: Eukaryota; Viridiplantae; Streptophyta; Magnoliopsida; Lamiales; Oleaceae
Rfam family: Antisense RNA which regulates isiA expression
Source: RNAcentral
AAUAAUCAAAAAUAAUACUUGGGCUAAGGGUCAAGUUGGUAAUUUUUCUUACAUCCCCCCUCCUGGAAUUUUUGAA